RNAcentral lists this ribosomal RNA (409 nucleotides) under Orientzomus sp. 832.4. RNAcentral describes it as "partial 12S ribosomal RNA". Lineage: Eukaryota; Metazoa; Arthropoda; Arachnida; Schizomida; Hubbardiidae. The record is from RNAcentral.
UUUAAUUAUAGUAAAUAUUUUAAAUUUUAUUUGAUUUUCAUAAUUAAUUUUAAAAUUAUUGGCGGUAUUAAAUUAAAUUCUGAGGAACUUGUUUAUUUAAAUUGAUAAUACUCAAUAAAUUUUAUCUAUUAUAAUAUUUUAUGUAUUGCUGUUUUAUUUAUUUGUUAUUAAAGAAAAAUAAAUUAAAUUAAUAAAAAAAAAUUUUUUUAAAAUAAGAAGAUCAAGUCAAAAUGUAGAUUUUUUUAGGGUUAAAUGAGUUACUUUAUUUUGAAAAGUGAAGCUGUAAAAAAAAAUGAAAUAUUUUUUGAUAAAAGGUUGGAUUAGGGAGUAAAGAAAAAUUAGUAUGUUUUUUUGAUAUUUUUAUUAAUAUGUACAUAUCGCCCGUCGCUUAAAAAUAUUUAAAUUUUUA